This 329-nucleotide ribosomal RNA is filed under the name uncultured Aminobacterium sp. RNAcentral's name for it is "bacterial SSU rRNA". It matches the Rfam family "Bacterial small subunit ribosomal RNA", at positions 568 to 898 of the family's 1533-position model. Lineage: Bacteria; Thermotogati; Synergistota; Synergistia; Synergistales; Aminobacteriaceae. The record is from RNAcentral.
CGGGCAGGCGGUUCUGCCAGUCUGAUGUGAAAUCUCUCAGCUCAACUGAGAGCGGCCAUUGGAAACUACAGAACUGGAGUCUGACAGAGGUAGGCGGAAUUCCGGGUGGAGUGGUGAAAUGCGUAGAGAUCCGGAGGAACACCAGAGGCGAAGGCGGCCUACUGGGUCAGUACUGACGCUGAGCCGCGAAAGCCAGGGGAGCGAACGGGAUUAGAAACCCCGGUAGUCCUGGCCGUAAACGAUGUGUGCUGGGUGGUGGGGGGUCUCCCUUCACUGCCGAAGCUAACGCGAUAAGCACACCGCCUGGGGAGUACGGUCGCAAGGCUAAA